ACUUGGUGUUACUGCGAAGGGGGGACGGAGAAGGCUAUGUUGGCCGGGCGACGGUUGUCCCGGUUUAAGCGUGUAGGUGUGUGUUCCAGGUAAAUCCGGUUCACUUUAACACUGAGGCGUGAUGACGAGGCACUACGGUGCUGAAGCAACAAAUGCCCUGCUUCCAGGAAAAGCCUCUAAGCAUCAGGUAACAUCAAAUC
This 200-nucleotide ribosomal RNA is filed under the name Salmonella enterica. RNAcentral describes it as "partial 23S ribosomal RNA". It matches the Rfam family "Bacterial large subunit ribosomal RNA", at positions 1443 to 1643 of the family's 2925-position model. Lineage: Bacteria; Pseudomonadati; Pseudomonadota; Gammaproteobacteria; Enterobacterales; Enterobacteriaceae. RNAcentral also lists the same sequence under 12 other names. The record is from RNAcentral.